UCNAAGGGUNAANGCGUNANUCGGAAUNCUGGGCGNAAGCGCGCGUAGGUGGUUUGUNAGUUGGAUGUGAAAGCCCCGGGCUCAACCUGGGAACUGCAUCCAAAACUGGCAAGCUAGAGUACGGUAGGGGGUGGUGGAAUUUCCUGUGUAGCGGUGAAAUGCGUAGAUAUAGGAAGGAACACCAGUGGCGAAGGCGACCACCUGGACUGAUACUGACACUGAGGUGCGAAAGUGUGGGGAGCAACAGGAUUAGAUACCCUGGUAGUCCAAGGGCGAAUUCCC
RNAcentral lists this ribosomal RNA (282 nucleotides) under uncultured bacterium. RNAcentral describes it as "partial 16S ribosomal RNA". It matches the Rfam family "Bacterial small subunit ribosomal RNA", at positions 525 to 810 of the family's 1533-position model. The record is from RNAcentral.